Molecule: ribosomal RNA, 418 nt
Filed under: uncultured bacterium
Lineage: Bacteria
Description: bacterial SSU rRNA
Rfam family: Bacterial small subunit ribosomal RNA
Source: RNAcentral
UGGGGAAUAUUGGGCAAUGGGCGCAAGCCUGACCCAGCAACGCCGCGUGAAGGAAGAAGGCUUUCGGGUUGUAAACUUCUUUUCUCAGGGACGAAGAAAGUGACGGUACCUGAGGAAUAAGCCACGGCUAACUACGUGCCAGCAGCCGCGGUAAUACGUAGGUGGCAAGCGUUAUCCGGAUUUACUGGGUGUAAAGGGCGUGUAGGCGGGAAAGCAAGUCAGAUGCGAAAACCAUGGGCUCAACCUGUGGCCUGCAUUUGAAACUGUUUUUCUUGAGUACUGGAGAGGCAGACGGAAUUCCUAGUGUAGCGGUGAAAUGCGUAGAUAUUAGGAGGAACACCAGUGGCGAAGGCGGUCUGCUGGACAGCAACUGACGCUGAGGCGCGAAAGCGUGGGGAGCAAACAGGAUUAGAUACCC